RNAcentral lists this long non-coding RNA (4555 nucleotides) under Phoenix dactylifera (date palm). RNAcentral's name for it is "long non-coding RNA (PDAC_LNC001025)". Lineage: Eukaryota; Viridiplantae; Streptophyta; Magnoliopsida; Arecales; Arecaceae. The record is from RNAcentral.
AGGUUGAUAUAAUACGUAUAUAUACCCAAAGAGCUUUACUCGAGAAGAAUAUGGAUGAAUAAGUUUGAUGAUCUAACAGUGUAAGGGAAGAUUUACAUUAAUUUACCAUGAUCUACGCAAUUUUAUCUAUCUAAUAUUUAUAGCCGUCUUUAAAAUGUUGGAAAUCCACAUACCAAGAAAUCUAUGUUUUCUUUCAGGAUUCUAGAUCACAUCUAGAGGGCUAUCUUUUUGGUGGAUAUUAGCCAAUUGAAGCUAUGCAUCACUGACCCUUACAAUGUUAAAUGGUCUAAAGGAGUGUAAAUGAUUGCUUGGAUCGCUCGAUUUCCUUGAAUAAAAUGGCCAAAAUGUUUAAAAGAUUUAUAACUCAAGGGAUCAAGUAGGAAAUCUCCAUGCAUGCCUACCAAUUUACAGAGUUGUAUAUUUUGUAGCUCAGAGAGAGAAAGAGAGAGAGAGAAUCAAGCUUAUCUCCAUGUCGGGAUGUGAAGGUGCAUAUAGAAAGAGAGGAAGAUGUAGAGAAGAUCUUUGAGACAUGCCUGAAGUUAACAGAAUCUUUGAUUUGAUAUAACUGAAUACAUCCUUUGACAACUUGCACGCUAAGAAAAUCAUUGCCUUUUAUUCAUUGUGAUUAGAUGAAAAUACCUCCCUCAUAGUGCAGUUAAUUACAAAAGCAAGAUAGACAAGAAACUUGAUAGAACGAAACAGUCCAAGAGACAAUAAACAGAAAUAUGGUUACAUUUCAAGCUUAGGUGCUAUGGAAGGCAUGCAUAUACCAAAAGGGAGGUGAAAAAUCUAAUCAGGUGGCUGUUGAUGACUUAGGGUGAGAUUUCCUACAGACAUUGUGAGCUACUUGAGCCAAGAUUGAGGACUUUCAAAGACGGCAAAAAAUUCCCAAAUUUUCACUACAAAAACUACAAUUAAUCCUAAUAAUAUAAAACGGGUAUUUUAACAAGUUUAUUUUUUUUCAUAUACUGUCAAAUAUGGAUAAUCAAGCCAUCCACGAAUAUACCAAUCACCUAUAAUCUUUAGAUUCUUUACAGCAAAUUAGAUGCCAACCCAUCUUGAACUGUGCAUAAAUUAAGAAAGCUAAAUUAUAUAUAUUAAGGAAAUGGAGUUCAACUUUAACAAUUCUUGGAGAAGGAAGAAAUUUAUGAAACCUCAUGAAACCACCAGGUGAACCAACAAUGAGGCAAAAGGCGGGGAAUGUUUCAAUCCUGCUAGUAAUAGAUAUCACAAGCUAUGUUGAAACCAUCCUCUUAAACAUGGGGUAUAAUUUUUCUGGAGCUAAUUAUAACAUGUAUAUGGCAUCUGGCCCUGCAAUAUCUUCAUAUCAUGAAUUUGACAACAGACAUCGACCAUGGUAGGUGAUAAGCACGUAGCAUUAAAUAGAAAACAUUGACAGAAGAAAAAAGGUGUUGAAUGAGUCCAAAUAGGGUGAAUUGACGGGAAGAAAAAGGAUACAGGUAAGAUGCGUAUAUACCUGUCCCUAGAAUAUCUUAAUAUCUUCAGAUCUAGAAUAUGACAACAGAGACGUCAACCAUGAUAGGAAUAAGCGUGUAGCCUUAAAUAGAGAAUAUUAGAGGAAGAAAAAUAGGUAUUCAAAGAGUCCAAACAUGAUGACUGGCCAGUAGGAAAAAAAUUAAACUCGGUUAAAUGUACACCUUGAGCAGUAUUGCAUGUAAUAUCAGGUCCCGGAAGCAGAGAAACCUUUAGGUCCCUUGUUCUAUCAUUGACAUGAUUUCCACCCCUUCCGCUAUUAGCAUACAUGCAUUUAUAGAAUAUUUAUAGUAAUGAAGCUCAAAUUAGAGUAUUCUUUUCCUCAGAUCACUUAUAUGGAUUAAGUAUAGGUUAGUUGAGUCUUGUAAAUCAGUAAGCACAUUCUUCCUCAAAUUGUUUAUCCGUCAACAAUAGUUCGAUAACUCGAACAAGUAAAUUAGGGGAUGGUGUUGUUUGCCAUGAGUAUCUCAUAUACUUUUCUCUCAUCCUGUUGUCCUCAGAGAGUUCUCUUCCUCCUUGGGCAUGCAGAAUAUUAAAACAAGCCCAGUCUUCACUAUUACCUCAGAACAGGUUGAUGAACAAAUUUUCAACAGACAUUGUCACCAGCUCACCAUCCUUUUCUCACAGCAAACUCCUCCCAGCUCAACACAAGAUGCUUUCCUCCAGUGGCCCCUCUCAUUUGUAACAUGGGUUGUCCCCAAAAAAUAUGUUGUUCAGAAGAAAAAAAAACAUGGGUUGUGAAAACAGAUGUUUGCUAAACCUCACAAUAUAAACUGAUGCAUUUGCACAACCCGCUAUAGAAGACAUUACUCAUUUAGUAAGAUGCAUCAUCCAUACUAAAUUGUAUCUUCUUGAUAUAGUUGAUUUUGUCAAACCUUGAUGCAACAAAUGUAACAUCAAGAUCGCCUAACAGCUCUACUAUCCAAAGAAGUACUUGGUGAUCACCUUGUUAUGUCAGUUGCAAUAAUUGAUGAAACAAACAACAUAUAUCUUCUCUAAAAUGUUACAUGAAAUUUACGGAGCAAGUAACAAAUAUAAUGCAACUUUCCCAACGCAUAAGAUCAAGAUUCAAGCUAAUGCAAUAACAAAGGAAAUGCCCUAGAUAAACACUCCAAAGUCUACAAACUCUUACAAUAUGCAAUCCACAUGCUUCCUCGUAUAAGGAUAGAAGAAUGCAUGCCGUUGACAUGCAAAACAUCCACAUGCUUGCACAUACGAAGCCAUUUGCAGCAAAUAGGUGCAGGCAUGUAUGUUUAUUAGGUAGCCAAUCUACAAGAAAAAGAAGGAUCAAGGAAAUGCUCAAGGAUGCCUCAUGAAGAGCAGUCACAACCAGUGAGAAGUACCAAGUAGCUGGAGAAUAAGAGUCAAAACAGUGUAAUGUUGUUGAUAGGGUAGCUCUGCAGGUAAGCUAAUACGGCACUAAAAAGAGCAGAAGUAUCAUGGUUUUGUAACCAAAGAUAGUGAUGAAGAAGUUAAAAAUUAUGGAAUCCAAAAGAACAAAAUUGUUUUGGAUGACAAGCAUAUUCAGAGUAGACAGGGAGAUAGAAUCAGUGGAGAAAAGGUUGAUAUAAUACAUAUAUAUACCCAAAGAGCUUUACUCGAGAAGAAUAUAGAUGAAUAAGUUCAAUGAUCUAACAGUGUAAGGGAAGAUUUACAUUAAUUUACCAUGAUCUACGCAAUAUAAUCUAUCUAAUAUUUAUAGCCGUCUUUCAAAUGUUGGAAAUCCACAUACCAAGAAAUCUAUGUUUUCUUUCAGGAUUCUAGAUCACAUCUAGAGGGCUAUCUUUUUGGUGGAUAUUAGCCAAUUGAAGCUAUGCAUCACUGACCCUUACAAUGUUAAAUGGUCUAAAGGAGUGUAAAUGAUUGCUAGAAUCGCUAGAUUUCCUUGAAUAAAAUGGCCAAAAUGUUUAAAAGAUUUAUAACUCAAGGGAUCAAGUAGGAAAUCUCCAUGCAAGCCUACCAAUUUACAGAGUUGGAUAUUUUGUAGCUCAGAGAGAGANNNNNNNNNNNNNNNNNNNNAGAGAGAGAGAGAGAGGGAGAGAAUCAAGCUUAUCUCCAUGUCAGGAUGUGAAGGUGCAUAUAGAAAGAGAGGACGAUGUAAAGAAGAUCUUUGAGGCAUGCCUGAAGUUAACAGAAUCCUUGAUUUGAUAUAACUGAAUACAUCCUUUGAUAACUUGCACGCUAAGAAAAUCAUUGCCUUUCGUUCAUUGUGAUUAGAUGAAAAUACCUCCCUCAUAGUGCAGUUGAUUACAAAAGCAAGAUAGUCAAGAAACUUGAUAGAACAAAACAGUCCAAGAGACAAUAAACAGAAAUAUGGUAACAUUUCAAGCUUAGGUGCUAUGGAAGGCAUGCAUAUACCAAAAGGGAGGUGAAAAAUCUAAUCAGGUGGCUGUUGAUGAUUUAGGGUGAGAUUUCUCACAGACACUGUGAGCUAGUUGAGCCAAGAUUGAGGACUUUCAAAGACAGCAAAAAGUUCCCAAAUUUUCACCACAAAAACUACAAUCAAUCCUAAUAAUAUAAAACGGGUAUCCUAACGAGUUUUUUUUUUUUUCAUAUACUGUCAAAUAUGGGUAAUCAAGCCGUCCACGAAUCAACCAAUCACCUAUAAUCUUUAGUUUCUUUACAGCAAAUUAGAUGCCAACCCAUCUUGAACUUUGUAUAAAUUAAGAAAGCUAAAUUAUAUAUCUUAAGGACAUGGAGUUCAACUUUAACAAUUCUUGGAGACGGAAGAAAUUUAUGAAACCUCAUGGAACCACCAGGUGAACCAACAAUGAGGCAAAAGGUGGGGAAUGUUUCAAUCCUGCUAGUAAUAGACAUCACAAGCAUUGUUGAAACCAUCCUAUUAAACAAAAUUCCAUAUGCAAGAAAAUGGUCCAAAUUUUGACACCCUGCCACAAGAAGAAGCAUAUUUCAAAUGGAAAUGCAAAACUCCAUACCCUAUCCAUCUAACCACACCAAUAACACCACCCGUGGUACAAGAACUUAACUGAAGAAAGGCCCUUUCACUUCCCACCCUUUGCUGCUAAAUGCUAAAUGCCCUUCUCUUCCCUAACCUCUCUCA